AUGAUGGGACACCUGGCACCGCCUUGAGGCAGGGGAAGGGGCCUGGACCUGCCUCUACUAAAUGUGUGCCUAUAUGACAAUACCUUCAAGCUUCAAAGCAGCAACUGCAUGUCAUGGAGCCAAAAGCAACCCCAAGUGCCAAGAAUACAGCUAAUAUACAUGGGAAAUGUUCCAAGAGCCCCAUAUGGCAAUUGCUGUGAACAACCCCUUCAGCAUCCCAUCACUGCUGCUCCUGUGGUCAUGCCUUCCUCACCGUAAUAGACAGAGGCCUCUUGAAACUCUGCAGCACACCCCUCCGCUAUGAUGCUUUUUUCUUCCACAUGCCCCCAAACAACGACGCUGAGUGACAACAGCCUGGCACCUACGAAAUCAAUGUUUAUUAGGAGAUGACCACUGAGAUUGUAGUGUGUCUUCCACCAACAGAAUACAUAUUAGAAGAUGACCACUGAGAUACAGUAUGUCUUCCACCAAUAGACCGUUCAUUAGAAAAUGACCAAUAUCUGACAAAAACAGAAUUCUUAAGGACAGUUAAACUAAUUUCUUCAUCAGUUUCUGAAAUAUGUCAAUCAAUUAAGGAAUGAUUUGAGGCUUGUGUAAAGAAAUGGAAACCAAGAACCAGCUUAAAAUGUGGUUCUUUUGAAGCCACUGACCAGGCUCUAAGCCCUAUAUAAUUCUCCAAGAUCCAAGAAUUCAUUUGAUAAAAGGAAUGGAAAAAUCAUCAGUGUCCAGAGAAACUUGCAAUGGUUUAAUAGAAUAAUGCCCUUCAUUCCUCAGCAGGAUAAAAGGGAAUGAAGAAGCCACCGUUGGAAGCCAGAUGGACAGGGCAGGGAACACUUUUCUAACAGAAAAUGAGACAUUUUGAAUGGAGGAAGAAUCCUUGGUCCCAGCUGCUCUUACUGGCCCCCUGUGACAAAGAACUAGUUAACACAAAGCCAAAUGCUCAGAAUUAAUUGUGAUUGACAUGUAAAUGGACCUUAACUGGUUUUUCUGUAUGCUUGCUGGUUUGUGAUUGUGGCACUUACCUGCUGCAUUCAUCACAAGACUAUAUUGACAGUGUUUAAUCAAUACUUUAGAGGAAACCCUUUUUCUUAGAUAUAGCAAGUCAUUAAUAUUUAAUGAUGAAAUUUUGGUUAGUUAACUUAAGAAACUAUACAUAGUUUGAGUUAAAAUAUGAUUCAGUUAUUUCCAUCUACUACAUUUACUUCAUAUUUCCACAGACAGUAAAUUUACAGAAGACGUUUCCUUGCAUUAUUCUUGUUCUCUGUUUGGCUUCUAAAUACAUCACCAAUGGCACUGGAGAAGGUUUGGUGUCUCUCAGAAAAGCCAGAACCUGUCAUUAAUUCCAUGGGUAAUAAGAAUUAUAAAAUGUUCAGACAAAUGUUAUUGCUGAACAAAAUUAUAAGAAAUUUAGAUAACAUUUUGUAAAAUUGUGAGUGUGUGUUGCCGAGAAUGGAAUCCAGGACUUUGUACUUACUGAAUAUGUAUUCCACCACUGAACUAAACCACCACCCUGA
This is a non-coding RNA of Peromyscus maniculatus bairdii (prairie deer mouse), 1514 nucleotides long. The record is from RefSeq and is a predicted model, not a curated record. Lineage: Eukaryota; Metazoa; Chordata; Mammalia; Rodentia; Cricetidae.